Molecule: ribosomal RNA, 468 nt
Filed under: uncultured bacterium
Lineage: Bacteria
Description: partial 16S ribosomal RNA
Rfam family: Bacterial small subunit ribosomal RNA
Source: RNAcentral
GACGAACGCUGGCGGCGUGCUUAACACAUGCAAGUCGAACGGAAAGGCCCUGCUUUUGUGGGGUGCUCGAGUGGCGAACGGGUGAGUAACACGUGAGUAACCUGCCCUUGACUUUGGGAUAACUUCAGGAAACUGGGGCUAAUACCGGAUAGGAGCUCCUGCUGCAUGGUGGGGGUUGGAAAGUUUCGGCGGUUGGGGAUGGACUCGCGGCUUAUCAGCUUGUUGGGGGGGUAGUGGCUUACCAAGGCUUUGACGGGUAGCCGGCCUGAGAGGGUGACCGGCCACAUUGGGACUGCGAUACGGCCCAGACUGCUACGGGAGGCAGAAGUCGGGAAUAUUGCACAAUGGGCGGAAGCCUGAUGCAGCAACGCCGCGUGCGGGAUGACGGCCUUCGGGUUGUAAACCGCUUUCGCCUGUGACGAAGCGUGAGUGACGGUAAUGGGUAAAGAAGCACCGGCUAACUACGUG